This 301-nucleotide ribosomal RNA is filed under the name uncultured bacterium. RNAcentral describes it as "partial 16S ribosomal RNA". It matches the Rfam family "Bacterial small subunit ribosomal RNA", at positions 509 to 809 of the family's 1533-position model. The record is from RNAcentral.
CAGCCGCCGCGGUAAUACAGAGGGUGCGAGCGUUAAUCGGAUUUACUGGGCGUAAAGCGUGCGUAGGCGGCUAAUUGAGUCGGAUGUGAAAUCCCCGAGCUUAACUUGGGAAUUGCAUUCGAUACUGGUUAGCUAGAGUGUGGGAGAGGAUGGUAGAAUUCCAGGUGUAGCGGUGAAAUGCGUAGAGAUCUGGAGGAAUACCGAUGGCGAAGGCAGCCAUCUGGCCUAACACUGACGCUGAGGUACGAAAGCAUGGGGAGCAAACAGGAUUAGAGACCCGCGUAGUCCCUGUCUCUUAUAA